AGCCGGCCAAACAAGGAAAAAGCCCACCAAAAUACUUUCCCACCCAAAAAAUUUCACUCCCCCGCCAAAGUGCUGAAGUAAAUAGGCGGACAAAAAAAGAAAAAAAGAAAAAACCCAUUUCAGAGUUUUUCUUCCCCAAAGAAGCUUCAACGAGAGUGUGGAAAGAGAGAGACCCGAAUCUCUCAUCUAUCGAUUUCUUUGGACGAACCGUGUUGGUGGCAGUAACUUGAGGAAAGAAAGCUUGAUUUCCUAAACUCAUCUUUCUCAGAUUGGACUCCGGACGGUGUCGAUCAUUCCGUCAGCGACCAGCGAAGAGGUUAGGGUUUUCAACCAGCGACGAAAAAUUGAAGUUGAAUCGAGCCACCAUGGACGACGUUUGGCCGGAGAAUCGAAGAGAUCUGGGGCAUAUUUCAGAAUGCUAUUUUUCUCUCGGUGGGAUUUCGCGAUCGCCUCUCUAGCACCCUUAUCCAUACUACAACAACGUUCACAGCCGCCACCAGGUGCCAGGCUGACUUCACACAUGGAGGAUGUGAUUGAUAGAGAUUUGUGUGAGCAGUUCCUAACAUUGCCGUUGGAUCUGCAAUGAAAAAUUGCAGAUGAAUUGGACAUAACUCCAACAGAGAUUUUGAAGAAACUUGAAGAAGUUCGAAAUAAGACCAUUUGAGAAUUAUUAGUCCUAAGGUAAAUUCAUGCCUGUGAUAAAUAAGGCAAUGGUAGAGCUUGAAGGAUUGAUUAUCACCAAUUCAUUAGGAGUAGAAGAAUCAGAAUUUCUAUGGUUCCAGUUUACAACAAAGUUACUUUCUUGGAUUUUGUACUGUGGAUUUUGCAGCUACUUCCUUGGAUUUUGUAUAGUGAGGUGGUUUUUUGACAAGUGCAGAUUGAAACUCAAAUGCUAGAAGGUUUAUCAAUAUUUCAACAGAAGUGUUAAGAAAUUGAUGAUUUUCUUGACAAAUGGAUGUACUUUCUGUUUUGGAACAUUGAUAAAUGAUGAAUUGUAAAAAUGUUUUAACUCUUUUGAUAUAUUUAAUGGGAUAUGUAUGUUUUUUGAAUUGAA
Molecule: long non-coding RNA, 1054 nt
Organism: Cornus florida
Lineage: Eukaryota; Viridiplantae; Streptophyta; Magnoliopsida; Cornales; Cornaceae
Exons: 7
Source: RefSeq, a predicted model, not a curated record